CAGCCGCCGCGGGAAUACGGAGGAUCCAAGCGUUAUCCGGAAUCAUUGGGUUUAAAGGGUCCGUAGGCGGUCUUGUAAGUCAGUGGUGAAAGCCCAUCGCUCAACGGUGGAACGGCCAUUGAUACUGCAGGACUUGAAUUAUUGGGAAGUAACUAGAAUAUGUAGUGUAGCGGUGAAAUGCUUAGAGAUUACAUGGAAUACCAAUUGCGAAGGCAGGUUACUACCAAUUGAUUGACGCUGAUGGACGAAAGCGUGGGUAGCGAACAGGAUUAGAGACCCCUGUAGUCCCUGUCUCUUAUAC
Molecule: ribosomal RNA, 301 nt
Filed under: uncultured bacterium
Lineage: Bacteria
Description: partial 16S ribosomal RNA
Rfam family: Bacterial small subunit ribosomal RNA
Source: RNAcentral